ACUGCUUCUUGGCCUUUUGGCUAAGAUCAAGUGUAGUAUAUGUAUAUUUAUAGCAUAUAUAUUAUAGUUUAU
Small nuclear RNA from Oryctolagus cuniculus (rabbit), 72 nucleotides. Its record names the gene U2. It matches the Rfam family "U2 spliceosomal RNA". From Rfam's summary of the family: U2 is a small nuclear RNA (snRNA) component of the spliceosome (involved in pre-mRNA splicing). Complementary binding between U2 snRNA (in an area lying towards the 5' end but 3' to hairpin I) and the branchpoint sequence (BPS) of the intron results the bulging out of an unpaired adenosine, on the BPS, which initiates a nucleophilic attack at the intronic 5' splice site, thus starting the first of two transesterification reactions that mediate splicing. The record is from Ensembl. Lineage: Eukaryota; Metazoa; Chordata; Mammalia; Lagomorpha; Leporidae.